GUUAAGCGACUAAGCGUACACGGUGGAUGCCCUGGCAGUCAGAGGCGAUGAAGGGCGUGCUAAUCUGCGAUAAGCGCCGGUAAGGUGAUAUGAACCGUUAUAACCGGCGAUACCCGAAUGGGGAAACCCAGUGUGAUUCGUCACACUAUCAUUAACUGAAUCCAUAGGUUAAUGAGGCGAACCGGGGGAACUGAAACAUCUAAGUACCCCGAGGAAAAGAAAUCAACCGAGAUUCCCCCAGUAGCGGCGAGCGAACGGGGAGGAGCCCAGAGCCUGAAUCAGCAUGUGUGUUAGUGGAAGCGUCUGGA
This 308-nucleotide ribosomal RNA is filed under the name Salmonella enterica. RNAcentral describes it as "partial 23S ribosomal RNA". It matches the Rfam family "Bacterial large subunit ribosomal RNA", at positions 1 to 314 of the family's 2925-position model. RNAcentral also lists the same sequence under 3 other names. The record is from RNAcentral. Lineage: Bacteria; Pseudomonadati; Pseudomonadota; Gammaproteobacteria; Enterobacterales; Enterobacteriaceae.